CGGGCUGUGGCGCAGUUGGCUAGCGCACAUGUCUGGGGGACAUGGGGUCGCCGGUUCAAGUCCGGCCAGCCCGA
RNAcentral lists this transfer RNA (74 nucleotides) under Spirochaetota bacterium. RNAcentral describes it as "Spirochaetes bacterium tRNA-Pro". It matches the Rfam family "tRNA". Rfam says of the family: Transfer RNA (tRNA) molecules are approximately 80 nucleotides in length. Their secondary structure includes four short double-helical elements and three loops (D, anti-codon, and T loops). Lineage: Bacteria; Pseudomonadati; Spirochaetota. The record is from RNAcentral.